AAGUCGUUGCGGUUAAAAGCCCGUAGUUGGAUUUCUGCCGAGGACGACCCGUCCGCCCUGUGGGUGAGCAUCUGGAUCGGCCUGGGCAUCUUCUUGGGGAACGUAGCUGCACUUGACUGUGUGGUGCGGUAUCCAGGACUUUUACCUUGGGGAAAUUAGAGUGUUUCAAGCAGGCGCACGCCUUGAAUACAUUAGCAUGGAAUAAUAAGAUAGGACCUCGGUUCUAUUUUGUUGGUUUCUAGAGCUGAGGUAAUGAUUAAUAGGGAUAGUUGGGGGCAUUCGUAUUUAACUGUCAGAGGUGAAAUUCUUGUAUUUGUUAAAGACGGACUACUGCGAAAGCAUUUGCCAAGGAUGUUUUCAUUGAUCAAGAAC
RNAcentral lists this ribosomal RNA (372 nucleotides) under uncultured dinoflagellate. RNAcentral describes it as "SSU rRNA". It matches the Rfam family "Eukaryotic small subunit ribosomal RNA", at positions 607 to 984 of the family's 1831-position model. The record is from RNAcentral. Lineage: Eukaryota; Dinophyceae.